UACGUAGGGUGCAAGCGUUAAUCGGAAUUACUGGGCGUAAAGCGUGCGUAGGCGGUUCGUUAAGUGCGUCGUGAAAGCCCCGGGCUCAACCUGGGAAUGGCGAUGGAAACUGGCGGGCUGGAGUAUGGCAGAGGGGGGUGGAAUUCCGCGUGUAGCAGUGAAAUGCGUAGAGAUGCGGAGGAACACCGAUGGCGAAGGCAGCCCCCUGGGCCAAUACUGACGCUCAGGCACGAGAGCGUGGGGAGCAAACAGG
RNAcentral lists this ribosomal RNA (253 nucleotides) under uncultured bacterium. Its description in RNAcentral is "partial 16S ribosomal RNA". It matches the Rfam family "Bacterial small subunit ribosomal RNA", at positions 524 to 776 of the family's 1533-position model. The record is from RNAcentral.